UGUUAAUCCAAAACCUUCAUUUUUAUUGAUUUUUCUUAAUAAAAAUAGAAAAAGAACACAGCCUGCCAUUAUUGAGGGCAGUGGCUACAGCCAGCGCUGUUAUAUUGUAGAUUUCCAUGUACUCAAAAUGAAGGAAUUAUUUUAAUCCUCAAUUUAUAUUUUUAAUAGUCAGCACCGGGCUAAUCAGGAAUACAUAUUAUCACGUGACAAUUCUGACACAAGCUUUCUUUCCCCCACACCGUGUCAGAGAUUUUAUCAUGUUCUAAUCGUGAUGACCACCCCUGUGUGUCAAAAAAAAGGAGCAUGAAGCCCCCAGUAAGCAGACAUCCAUGUUGAUGCACUGGCAUUCUGUGGGCUUCCUUUACAAGAGCCAGCUGCACAAUCUCUGUAAAGUAAAUUUUUAAAUAAGACCUGAAAUUAAAGCAUGCCAAUCACGGGCCCGCAACUGGAAUAUCUGAUUAAUAAAAAAAAUUAUGCCUGAUUCAAUUCAACUCACUAAGGACCAUUCCUCCAGAGAUGGUGGACACCCCACACAUUUCACUACCUGUAAGGCGUUGGCUGUGGUGGUUUCGUGGAGCCCUUCACAGCAUACAGCUUACUGUGAAUUCCUCACAGCAGAAGUAGAGUGGAGGAUAGCAGAUGCCAAUUGUGUCAUGUCACCAAGCCCAUUAUGUAGGUUUCUGCCAGCUUUAAGGGACAGACAGACACCCAUCAUGAGACAGGGCUUGACAAGAAGCCAGUCCGCUAAUUAAUAGACAUGUUUCAACUACAUGCUCUUGAUCUACAGAAAGGCUACUGAUCAGAGUCCCACGAGUGACCAUACCAACUCAAGCAAGUGGCAUUGAAGACUAGGCAGCCACACCUGUGUCUAUGAUACCUGUUGGUAGAGGUGUGUCCAUCAACACCUCUGGUAAAGCCUUGGUGUAAUUCUGAGGUCCAUUACUCAGUGAGAGAUAUACAGUGUUUUGUUUAGAUACUAUCUUUGAGUAGAAGUUUGAAAAGUUCAAUUUGGCCCUGGGAUUUUGUGAUUCAAUAAUAUGAGGCGUGCUAUUUCAAGAGAAGUAUGUACAUAAAAAAGACAUGAUACAUAAGAAAGAAGAAAGACACACCUAUUUGUAAAGAGGUAGUAUAAUAAGCCAAGGACAGCUAAUGCUUUUGCUAGCUGAAAAGCAAGACUACUUGUGAACUGGAAGCAAAACAGGAUGUAGGCUGUAACCCUCUUUCAUACUGAGUAUAUUAGUAGCUGUAUUUAAGAGAGUUGCUCAUUAAUAAAAGGAAAAAUGCAUCAGCUAACAAGUUGUGAGAUACACCUUGAUUAAUAGAUGUUUCUAAUCCCUUUAGAACUUACUUUCAGGUAAAAUCCCAAGUUCAAUAUUAAAUCUAAAGUUUAUUAUUAUGUAGUUUUGCUUGACCCAUUAAAUUCUACAUGUAUUCUAAUUCUUCUUUUCCAUUCUGUGGUAAAUGUAGGAUCCUGAUUUAAUUAUUUAAUAUGGAAUGAUUGUCCUGAAUAAGGAGCAUAGAUGAGAAUAAAGGGAAGUUUGCAGUCUUUUGUUUGUAGACACUAGCUGAUAGAACUCAAAAUGAAUAAUAGUCACACACCUAAAUCAGGUAGCACCCCCCAUGUAUGGACCAACCAAGGGAAGGUAGUGUGAUUCGCAGGACCUUCAGUGGUGCUCUUGGUGUUAUGGUUGAGCUCAGCAUACCCAGGAGUAGUUCUUUGGGGUGGCCCAAUACAUGAGCCUAUGAGUGUUUCAGAGGUGGGAGAUAGUAGCUUCAUUAUGUUUCUUGGAGCCACCUUUGGCAUGAAUGAAUUAAAUAAAAGUGGGCCAUACAAAAACUAGAUAUGAAUUCGAUCCAUCCAAAACAGAGAUGUUGAACUAUCCACAGGGUACCUUGGAGUACCUUGUGGAAGUAGUAUGAUCUAAAUAUCUCAAUGGACAAAGAGCCCCAGCCCAAAGAUCUUGUUCUGGGGACUCUGUUUUGUUAAUUGUCAGUCAGUCAGUUAGUAAGUGAAGCAAACACCCGGCAUGGGCCAAUGAUGAGGAGCAUGGGGUUUCUGAACGAGGACAGUGAUUAAACCCUUAUGAAAUCUGAGGACUAUUGCAAAGUGGUGUCUGCAGCCUGUAGAGACGAGUCCCCAAAGCCCGAUCUUUGUGGAUUCGUGGCACAACCCACAUUGCUGUAUUAAAAUUAACCGUGAAUAAAGAAAAAAAGUCGAUGAAUGAAAAAUAAGCAAGAUAAGACUGGGCAAGAUCACACACGCCUGCAACCCUAACUUCCAGGGCAUUGAAGCCAUGGCAUUGGGAGAUUGAGGCCAGCCAAGAUCGCAUUCCUCCCAAAAAACAAAACCAACCCAAAACAAAAUAAAGCGACAAAACAAUUAAAAAAUUAGGGCAGAUGGGAUGGCUCUACAUAUCAAGGCAUUUGUGACCAUGCCUGAUGGUCUAAAUUCCAUCCCUGAAACACUCAUGGAGAAGAACAGACUCCUUCAAGUUGUCCUCUGACCUCUACACAUAUGCCCCCUUACACACACUUUAAAUGAGCAAACUAAUUCAUAUAAAGCAAAAAAAGAAGAGAAGCUAAAUGUGUAUAUGUACUUUUUAAAGCAUUUAAUGCAUUGCAGCUUGUUAUUUAUUUUGAGUUCAUCAGUUUAGGUGACUAGCUGUCUUAGAGGUCAUGCGAUUUGAUGAUUGCAAAAGGAGGCAAGUUGAGGUGAGGCUGCCCCGUGUCAAGGAAAAGAACACAUACCCCUGUAACUAGUGACUAGAGGGACAACACUUACACACAGAGCAAAGAUGAGACGUCACACACACCACCAGUGAUAAAGUCUAGGCAUUUUUCUUGAAAUAAACACACACCAAGUCAAAUAUGAUUGUGUUUUUUGAGCAUUGACAUAGGAAAAACAUAAAUACCACUCAGAGCACUGAUCCAGUAUGGAUGGACACACAUCUAGUUCAGUAUAAUUAAGAAGGAAGGGACAUAUUCCUAAAUUUGUAUCUCAACCAGUAGUUUUUUUUAAUUCAGCAAAUUGUGUACCAGUGGAAAAUAUUCUGCCACUGGGAUCUUUACACUAUCUACUUCUGAAACCCAUAAGAAGACAUCUUGUUAGUGUUCCAGUGUUGGUUUGAUGGUUGUAAAAUUCUUCUAGAAAAAUUAUCCCAUGAGAAAUUAAACACCUCAGUUAGUGAGUGAAGUAAACAGGGCCAGGUUGGGCGGGGAUAGUUAAGUCAAUCAGGUGCUUGCCUUGGAAUUAAGGGGAACUUAUUUCUAUCCCCAGAGCUCAUGUAAAUUAAAAAAGCUUGCAUGUGAUGGUGUGUAUGGGUAAUCCCAUUGCUGGGAAGGCUGUAGCGUGUGUGUGAUGGUGUAUAUGGGUAGUCCCAGUGUUUCAGAGGCAGUUGUGGGUGUGUGAUGGUGUGUAUGGGUGACCCCCUGUUGCAGAGACCGUGGUGUGUGUGUGAUGGUGUGUGUGUGAUGGUGUGUGUGUGUGACCUUCUUACUGGGGAGGCAGUGUGUGUGGGUGAUCCCCGUGCUGCAGAGGCAGUGGUGAGUGUGUGAUCAUGUGUACUGGUGACCCCAUUGCUGGGGAGGCAGAGGUGGGUGAAUCUUUAGAGCUUGCUGGCUCGUCAGCUCAAGACCAGUGAGAGAUCUGACCUCAUCAAGCAUGAUGGUUAGCUUCUGAGGACCAGCAUCCAAGGUGCCUCUCACACACACACACACACACACACACACACACACACACACACACACACGAGCCUGCAUGUGUGUGCAUCUGCACAAAUAACACAUAUAAACACACACUUAUCCAGGAAAAUUAAGUUUGGACCAUCACAGAGAUUAUACCAUAUGGUAAAUCUCUCAUCUCCAGUUUUGCACAACAUCCAACUGAAAGGACAACUUUGCUCUUAUGUAUGUUGGUAACAAACACACCAGAUGGUCCUAAUAAUUAGAGUUAUUUUUCUUUUUUUUAACUGCUGGGUUCAGUGGUCUUCAUGACAUUCUUUUAAAUAAAAACUUAUGCAGGUUCAUAAAUAUACAGUGCUGUUCUCACUUCUAAACCCCAUAAGAUAAUAAAUAUAAAGGACUUCUGCUUUCCCAAGUGUUCCGACCGGAACGCAAACCAACAUUUAUGGCUAAUUGAUCACCCCCAACUGUGGUUCCUCCUCAGAAGCUAAAUGACACUAAUUCAUUUCAAUAUCUGCCUUCUACUCCUCAGAAUGAGCACGGCUGAUAUGACUUCAUGAUUACCUCCUGGGGAAGAUCUUGCCUGUGUACCUCUGCCUAAGAAAAAGAAGACACAGAAUGAUUGUCCAUCAGAUGACUUCGGUCUGCUAUAAACACUGGACCACGCUCAAACUCUACACUUAAACUCCGUGUAUACAGAAGGUCCAAAUCUGUGUGAGUAAUAUUCAAAAUUGUUGUCUUCUUUUCCUCAAAGAGAUGCUCUAUGUUAUUAUAGAGUAUAGAAUGUGUCUGAACAAGGGAUUCAGCACUUUUACAGUUAAACAACAGACAUGCACAUAUUACUAGAGAAGAGAAAGGCUAGGAUGGACCGAUGAUGACUAAAGCUCGGCGGCGUUAUAAGUCAUGGAUUGACGAUGACUACAUACUUGGUGUCUGAGGUUCUCAGCAUAACACAGCUCAAGCGACAAAGGUUAUACAUGAAUCAGGCACUUUCAUGCAUUCCUUAGUGGAUUAAUGAAACAUGAUAUAACACAAAUAGAUUAAUUGAGGCAUUGAUUUAUUAGAAAAUGAAUAUUUGAUCACAAACACUACUACUACAUGGAAAACAAUCUUCAAGUCAGUUAAGAAAUAAUUGACAUAAAGAUGUAUAUGAACUUCAUUCAAGUUCGCAUAUGAUUUAUAGUUAACGAAUUAAGCUCUAGUGAGGCUCACACCUCAAUUUUAAAUCUUACUUCAAUUAUUAAGACACCAUCAUAACAAAUUGAAACCUCACUAGCAAGUAGUGAAAGGAAAAUGUAGAAAUGAUUGAAUAAUACCAAUCUUUUUAUUACCUUCCCUGCUAUGUUCUCCCUGGAUGAAUGCUGAGUGACACGUUGUUUCCUGGCUGGGAGGUCCAUGGUUGCCCUGUCCUCAUGUGUGAGGAUCAAGAGAAUUGAUAAGCUACCCUUCCAUCUGCAUCAUGAGGUCCAUGGAGAGUCUAGGGUCUUGGGAUCACGGGGGCCAUUGCUCAUCCCUCCGACAGCUUCAGUCUGCUUUAAACACUGGGCCAUGCUCAAACUCUACACUUAAUCUCCGUGUUUACAGAAGACCCAAAUCUGUGUGAGUAAUAUUCAAAAUUGUUGUCUCUAUUCCUCAAUGGGAUGCUCUAUGCUCUUACAGAGUAUAUAAUGCAUCUGCAUAAAGGAUUCACUUAUCCUGAAAACAAAAGAAAAUAACAGGCACUUUUACAGUUAAACAACAAACAUGCACAUAGUACUCGAGAAGAGAAAGGCUAGGAUGGACCGAUGAUGACCAAGGUGAGCGGCGUUAUAAGUCAUGGAUUGACGAUGACUACAUACUUGCUGUCUGAGGUUCUCAGCAUAACACAGCUCAUGUGCCCCUCUUAGUCAGGUGACAAAAGUGAGGCUUGUGGGGCACAUACUGGACAUUAGAAUCAGGCACUUUCAUGAAUUUCCUUAGUGGAUCAAUGAGCAUGAUAUCAUACAAAUACAUUUAUUGAGGCAUUGACCUAUUCCAAAAUAAAUAUUUAAUUACAAACUAUACUAUUACAUCCAAAAGAAUCUGGAAGUAGGUUAAGAAAUAAUUGAACUUCAUUCCAGUUCAUGUGAUUUAUAAUAAAUGAAUUAAUCCCUACCAAGGAUCAACACUCAAUUUAAAUCUUACUUGGUUUAUUAAGUCACCAUCAUAACAAUUUGAAAUGGAAGUAACAGUCAGGAAAGGGAAAAUGUAGAAAGGAUUUGAACAUAACAAUCUUUUUAUUACUUUAUGUGCUUCCUUCUCCCUGGAUGGAUGCUGAGUAAUACAUUGUUUCCUGACUGGGAUGUGCAUGGUUGCACUGUCCCCAUGUGUGAGGAUCAAGAGAACUGAUAAGCUACCCUUCCAUCUGCAUCAUGAGGUCCAUGGAGAGUCUAGGGUCUUGGGAUCACGGGGGCCAUUGCUCAUCCCUCCGACAGCUUCAGUCUGCUUUAAACACUGGGCCAUGCUCAAACUCUACACUUAAUCUCCGUGUUUACAGAAGACCCAAAUCUGUGUGAGUAAUGUCCAAAAUUGUUGUCUCUGUUCCUCAAUGGGAUGCUCUAUGCUCUUACAGAGUAUAUAAUGCAUCUGCAUAAAGGAUUCACUUAUCCUGAAAACAAAAGAAAAUCAUAGGCACUUUUACAGUUAAACAACAAACAUGCACAUAAUACUCGAGAAGAGAAAGGCUAGGAUGGACCGAUGAUGACUAAUGCUCGGCGGCGUUAUAAGUCAUGGAUUGACGAUGACUACAUACUUGGUGUCUGAGGUUCUCAGCAUAACACAGCUCAUGUGCCCCUCUUAGUCAGGUGACAAAAGUGAGGCAUGUGGGGCACAUACUGGACAUUAGAAUCAGGCACUUUCAUGCAAUUUCUUAGUGAUCAAUUAAACAUCAUAUAAACAUACAUAUAAAUGUAGAUCCAUUUAUUGAGACAUAGAUUACUUAGAAAUUAAAUACUGGACCACAAAUGGAAUAACUACAUUCAGGAAAUCUGGAAUUCAGUUAAGAAAUAAUAGACAUAAACAUGCAUAUAAUCUUCAUCCAAGUUCACAUAUGAAGCAUAAUUAAUGGAUUAAAUCCCAGUGAGUGUCAAAACCUCAAUUUUCAAUCUUUUCUACUUGAUCCUUUAAGAAACCACCAUAACAACUUGAAUCCUUACUAACAAGUAGUGAAAGGAAAAUGUAGAAAUGAUUUGAAUAAAACCAGUCUUUUUAUUACUGUCCCUUCUUUGUUCUCCCUGGAUGGAUGCUGAGUGACACAUCUUUUUGCUGGCUGGGAGGUCCAUGGUUGCCCUGUGCCCAUGUGUGAGCAUUAAGAGAACUGAUAGGAAGGCUCGCUAACAUCUGCAUCAUGAGGUCCAGGACUAGCCUAGGGUCUUGGGAGCUCAGGAGGCCAUUGCUCAUCCCUGGGAAGCAAUGGCUUUGGUCUGCUUAAAACACUGGACCACGCUCAAACUCUGCACUUAAUCACCGUGUUUACAAAAGACCAAAUCUGUGUGAGUAAUAUUCAAAAUUGUUGUCUCUAUUCCUCAAUUGGAUGCUCUAUGCUCUUACAGAGUAUAUAAUGCAUCUGCAUAAAGGAUUCACUUAUCCUGAAAAACUAAAGAAAAUCUUAGGCACUUUUACAGUUAAACAACAAUCAUGCACAUAGUACUCGAGAAGAGACAGGCUAGGAUGGACCGAUGAUGACUAAUGCUCGGCGGCGUUAUAAGUCAUGGAUUGACGAUGACUACAUACUUGGUGUCUGAGGUUCUCAGCAUAACACAGCUCAUGUGCCCCUCUUAGUCAGGUGACAAAAGUUAGGCAUGUGGGGCACAUACUAGACAUUAGAAUCAGGAACUUUCAUGCAUUUCCUUAGUGGAUCAAUGAAACAUCUUAUAAACAUACAUAUAGAUAUAUAUAUCCAUUUAUUGAGGCAUAGAUUACUUAGGAAUUAAAUAUUGGAUCACAAAUGGCAUUACUACAUCCAGGAAAUCUGGAAGUCCGUUAAGAAAUGAUUGACUUAAUCAUGCAUAUGUAUUUCCUCCAAGUCCACAUGUGACGUAUAAUUAAUGCAUUAAGCCACAGUGGUGGCCAACACCUCAAUUUUAAAUCUUACUUGUCUCUUUAAGACACUAUCAACAGUUUGAAUCCUAACUAGCAAGUAGUGAGAUGGAAAAUGUACAAAGGAUUUGAAAAAUUCCAAUUUUUUUAUUGCUUUUUGUGCUUCUUUUUCCAUGUAUGGAUACUGAGUGACACAUUGUUUUCCUGGCUGAGAGAUCCAUGGUUGCCCUGUCCCUAUGUGUGAGGAUUAAGAGAACUGAUAACGCAUGCUUCCAACUGCAUCAUGAGGUCCAUGACUGGCUUAGUGUCAUGGAGCUCGGGAGGCCAUUGCUCAUCCCUCAGAAGCAAUGGCUUUGGUCUGCUUAAAACACUGGACCACGCUCAAAUUCUGCACUUAAUCUUCGUGUUUACAGAAGACCCAAAUCUGUGUGAGUAAUAUUCAAAAUUGUUGUCUCUAUUCCUCAAUGGGAUGCUCUAUGCUCUUACAGAGUAUAUAAUGCAUCUGCAUAAAGGAUUCACUUAUCCUGAAAACAAAAGAAAAUAACAGGCACUUUUACAGUUAAACAACAAACAUGCACAUAGUACUCGAGAAGAGACAGGCUAGGAUGGACCGAUGAUGACUAAUGCUCGGCGGCGUUAUAAGUCAUGGAUUGACGAUGACUACAUACUUGGUGUCUGAGGUUCUCAGCAUAACACAGCUCAUGUGCCCCUCUUAGUCAGGUGACAAAAGUGAGGCAUGUGGGGCACAUACUGGACAUUAGAAUCAGGCACUUCCAUGCAUUUCCAUAGUGGAUCAAUGAAGCAUCAUAUAAACAUACAUAUAGAUAUAUAUCCAUUUAUUGAGGCAUAGAUUACUUAGGAAUUAAAUAUUGGAUCACAAAUGGCAUUACUACAUUCAGGAAAUCUGGAAGUCAUUUAAGAUAUAAUUGACAUAAAGAUGAAUAUAAACUUCAACCAAGUCCACAAAUGACAUAUAAUUAAUGCAUUAAGCCACAGUGGUGGUCAACACAUCAAUUUUAAAUCUUACUUUCUUCUUUAAGACACUACCAACAAUUUGAAUCCUACGUAGCAAGUAGUGAGAGGGAAAAAAUAGAAAGGACGUGAAAAAUUCCAAUCUUUUUAUUACUUUCUGUGCUUUGCUCUCCCUGGAUGGAUGCUGAGUGACACGUUGUUUCCUGGCUGGGAGGUCCAUGGUUGCCCUGUCCCCAUGUGUGAGGAUUAAGAGAAUUGAUAGGAAGGCAUGUUUCCAUCUGCAUCAUGAUGUUCACGACUAGCCUAGGGUCUUGAGAGCUCAGGAGGCCAUUGCUUAUCCCUUGGAAGCAAUGGCUUUGGUCUCCUUAAAACACUGGCCCACGAUCAAACACUGCACUUAAUCUCCGUGUUUACAGAAGACUCAAAUCUGUGUGAGUAAUAUUCAAAAUUGUUGUCUCUAUUCCUCAAUGGGAUGCUCUAUGCUCUUACAGAGUAUAUAUGCAUCUGCAUAAAGGAUUCACUUAUCCUGAAAACAAAAGAAAAACAUAGGCACUUUUACAGUUAAACAACAAACAUGCACAUAGUACUCGAGAAGAGAAAGGCUAGGAUGGACCGAUGAUGACUAAUGCUCGGCGGCGUUAUAAGUCAUGGAUUGACGAUGACUACAUACUUGGUGUCUGAGGUUCUCAGCAUAACACAGCUCAUGUGCCCCUCUUAGUCAGGUGACAAAAGUGAGGCAUGUGGGGCACAUACUGGACAUUAGAAUCAGGCACUUCCAUGCAUUUCCUUAGUGGAUCACUGAAGUAUCAUAUAAACAUACAUAUAGAUAUAUAUCCAUUUAUUGAGGCAUAGAUUACUUAGGAAUUAAAUAUUGGACCACAAAUGGCAUUACCACAUUCAGGAAAUCUGGAAGUCUGUUAAACAAUAAUUGACAUAAUCAUGCAUAUGUAUUUCCUCCAAGUCCACAUGUGACGUAUAAUUAAUGCAUUAAGCCACAGUGGUGGCCAACACCUCAAUUUUAAAUAUUACUUCCUUCUUUAAGACACUAUCAACAGUUUGAAUCCUAACUAGCAAGUAGUGAGAUGGAAAAUGUGGAAAGCAUUUAAAAAUUCCAAUCUUUUUAUUACUUUCUGUGCUUUGCUCUCCCUGGAUGGAUGCUGAGUGACACGUUGUUUUCCUGGCUGGGAGGUCCAUGGUUGCCCUGUGCCCAUGUGUGAAGAUUAAGAGAGCUGAUAGGAAGUCACGCUUCUAUCUGCAUCACGAUGUCCACAACUAGCCUAGGGUCUUGGAAGCACAGGAGGCCAUUGCUCAUCCCUGGGAAGCAAUGGCUUUGGUCUGCUUAAAACACUGGACCACGCUCAAACUCUGCACUUAUCUCUGUGUUUACAGAAGACCCAAAUCUGUGUGAGUAAUAUUCAAAAUUGUUGUCUCUGUUCCUCAAUGGGAUGCUCUAUGCUCUUACAGAGUAUAUAAUGCAUCUGCAUAAAGGAUUCACUUAUCCUGAAAACAAAAGAAAAUCAUAGGUACUUUUACAGUUAAACAACAAACAUGCACAUAGUACUCGAGAAGAGAAAGGCUAGGAUGGACCGAUGAUGACUAAUGCUCGGCGGCGUUAUAAGUCAUGGAUUGACGAUGACUACAUACUUGGUGUCUGAGGUUCUCAGCAUAACACAGCUCAUGGGCCCUCUUAGUCAGGUGACAAAAGUGAGGCAUGUGGGGCACAUACUGGACAUUAGAAUCAGGCACUUCCAUGCAUUUCCAUAGUGGAUCAAUGAAGCAUCUUAUAAACAUACAUAUAGAUAUAUAUCCAUUUCUUGAGGCAUAGAUUACUUAGAAAUUAAAUAUUGGACCACAAAUGGCAUUACUACAUUCAGGAAAUCUGGAAGUCUGUUAAGCAAUGAUUGAUAUAAUCAUGCAUAUAAAUUUCCUCCAAGUCCACAUGUGACGUAUAAUUAAUGCAUUAAGCCACAGUGGUGGCCAGCACCUCAAUUUUAAAUCUUAUUUGCUCCUUUAAGACACUAUCAACAGUUUGAAUCCUAACUAGCAAGUAGUGAGAGGGAACAUGUGGAAAGCAUUUGAAAAAUUCCAAUCUUUUCUUUACCUUCCGUGCUCUGUUCUCCCUGGAUGGAUGCUGACUGACACGUUGUUUCCUGGCUGGGAGGUCCAUGGUUAUCCGGUCCCCAUGUGUGAAGAUUAAGAGAACUGAUAGUAAGGCUCGCUUCUAUCUACAUCACGAUGUCCAUGACUAGCCUUGGGUCUUGGGAGCUCAGGAGGCCAUUGCUCAUCCCUGGGAAGCAAUGGCUUUGGUCUGCUUAAAACACUGGACCACGCUCAAACUCUGCACUUAAUCACCGUGUUUACAAAAGACCAAAUCUGUGUGAGUAAUAUUCAAAAUUGUUGUCUCUAUUCCUCAAUUGGAUGCUCUAUGCUCUUACAGAGUAUAUAAUGCAUCUGCAUAAAGGAUUCACUUAUCCUGAAAACAAAAGAAAAUCAUAGGUACUUUUACAGUUAAACAACAAACAUGCACAUAGUACUCGAGAAGAGAAAGGCUAGGAUGGACCGAUGAUGACUAAAGCUCGGCGGCGUUAUAAGUCAUGGAUUGACGAUGACUACAUACUUGGUGUCUGAGGUUCUCAGCAUAACACAGCUCAUGGGCCCUCUUAGUCAGGUGACAAAAGUGAGGCAUGUGGGGCACAUACUGGACAUUAGAAUCAGGCACUUCCAUGCAUUUCCAUAGUGGAUCAAUGAAGCAUCUUAUAAACAUACAUAUAGAUAUAUAUCCAUUUCUUGAGGCAUAGAUUACUUAGAAAUUAAAUAUUGGACCACAAAUGGCAGUACUACAUUCAGGAAAUCUGGAAGUCCCUCAAGCAAUAAUUGACAUAAUCAUGCAUAUAAAUUUCCUCCAAGUCCACAUGUGACGUAUAAUUAAUGCAUUAAGCCACAGUGGUGGCCAGCACCUCAAUUUUAAAUCUUAUUUGCUCCUUUAAGACACUAUCAACAGUUUGAAUCCUAACUGGCAAGUAGCGAUAGGUAAAUGUGGAAUUGACUUGAAAAAUUAUUAUCUUUUUAUUACCUUCCAUGUUUCCUUCUCCCUGGAUGGAUGCUGAGUGACACAUUGUUUCCCUGGCUGGGAGGUCCAUGGUUAUCCGGUCCCCAUGUGUGAGGAUAAAGAGAACUGAUUGCUCAUCCCUCAGAUGCAAUGGCUUUGGUCUGCUUUAAACACUGGGCCUCGCUCAAACUCUGCACUUAAUCUCCAUGUUUACAGAAGACCCAAAUCAGUGUCCAUGGUUAUCCGGUCCCCAUGUGUGAGGAUUAAGAGAACUGAUCCGAAGUUAAUCUUUCAUCUGCGUCAUGACGUCUGUGGCUAGCCUAGGGUCUUGGGAGCACGGGUUGCCAUGCAUUUGCUCUAUUAUUGGAAGAGAAGAAAGGAACAGUAUGUAAAACUACAAUGAGCAGAUGGCAGAAGAAUCCUCCAGUGCUGUUUGACUUUGAAGAAUUAAAAAUGGAUUCCGCCCCCACGCUGAUUUUCACACUCUCCCUUGGUCAUGAGCCUCCUAAUGAGCUGUUUCAGACUGUAAUAUAGACACAGUAACGAAAACCUCCAAGAUGAUUCACACGUUCUUCCUUAGUCCUGUGUUUUGAUGUUCGCUGUUUUUAUAUGAAAGAUAGAGACCAUAGUGGAUGCCCUGCAAGCUGACGUUACACAGUCUUACUUGCACCUCAACCUCUUGAUCCAGCCUAUGUGUUCGUAGGAUAGACAACGUAAUGGAUUCCCCCAAGUUUGCUUACAAACUCCCCCUUGGUCGUGAGCUUCACGAUGAACUCGUUGGGUUCAGAAUGUAGAUACCAUGAUGGAAUCCCCAAAGCUGAUUUGCUACAUUCUCCUUUUCUUGUGAGCUUCAUGAUGUGAAACUUAUGAUCAAAGUAUAGACACCGAGAAGAAUUUCCCUCCAAAAAUGAUCUACACAUUCUUCUUUGGUUUGGGACACAGUGCAGAUACCCCCAAGCUGAUUUACACAUUCUCCGUUGGUCACAAGCUUCUUGACCUGCUGUUUGUGUUCUUAGGAUAGACAUAGUGAUGGAUUUCCCCACAAGGUGACUUACACAUUCUCCUUUCAUUGUGAUCUUCAUGAUCAUCUCUUUGGGGUUGCCAUAUAGACACAGUAAUGGACCUCCAAGUUGAUUUUCCUAAUUCUUCUUGGUCAUGAGCUCUGUGACCCACUGUUGGUAUUCAUAGGGUGGACAAAGUAAUAGAUGCCUUCCUCACUGGUCACCCGGUUGAUGGAACAUAGGAACACAGGGAUCGAUCAUAGAAGCUUUCAGAGUGAUGUUCAUAUUCUGGUUCCCGAGUCUACAGUUACCUUAAUGUGUCAAGAACACAGAGAUCAGUAAAGCCCAACUCCAGAACAAUGGAUGACUGCUGCCUGGUCCUGAGUUCUAAAGUUGCCAAUGCCAUCAGGGUCACAGCUACAAUCGGAUCAGGGAAGCCUAUGGAAGAGGAGGUGGAAAGAUUAUAAGAACCAGUGAGACUGGAAGACACCAAGGAAACAAGCCCUUCUAGACACAGCAGGACUGAUGCAGAUAUGAAUGAACUCAUACAGACUGUGGCAGCAUGCCCCGGGCCUGCACAAGUCUAAGCCAGAUGGGGUCCCAGCACUGAGAGGGGAAGUGGACAUAACCCCAUAUCCAUAACCCGGAUGCUAUCUCCAACUGAUAAACUCUCUCAAUGGAAACUCUAUUUUUCUCCCACGGACUCUCUCUGGAUAUAUAAACGACCUGUGGGAUGAGGCUCAUGCUCACAUCACCAACACAAAAUGAACUCCCAUGAACUCAAUGGCAUCCUUGGAAGCUUUUGUGACACACAAUGCUUUGUCUGGAUAUUGUUUUUUCCCUAUGGAUAUUUUGCUUAUAUAUUGUGGUUUCUGAUUUUAUUUUUUGUGAGUUUUCUGUAUGUGGGAAUGCAUGUAUCUUAGAGUCUGUAUUUGUUUCUUGUGAUUUUUCAUUCUAAUGAGAGAAUGAAAGAAUGGGUCGGGUUAGGGUGGGUAUGUAAAUGGGGAGGGUCUGGGGGGUGUUGGGAGGGGACACUAAUGCAAAUAUGUUGUAUGAAGAAGUGUGUUUUCAAUAAAAGAUAUUUCCUCUAUCACUAAAA
This is a long non-coding RNA of Mesocricetus auratus (golden hamster), 13858 nucleotides long. RefSeq lists it as uncharacterized. The transcript is spliced from 33 exons. Lineage: Eukaryota; Metazoa; Chordata; Mammalia; Rodentia; Cricetidae. The record is from RefSeq and is a predicted model, not a curated record.